Molecule: transfer RNA, 71 nt
Filed under: Pelochelys cantorii (Cantor's giant softshell turtle)
Lineage: Eukaryota; Metazoa; Chordata; Testudines; Trionychidae
Description: tRNA-Ser
Rfam family: tRNA
About the family: Transfer RNA (tRNA) molecules are approximately 80 nucleotides in length. Their secondary structure includes four short double-helical elements and three loops (D, anti-codon, and T loops).
Source: RNAcentral
GAGAAAGAAACAUGUAGGUUAUGUAGUUGGCUUGAAACUAACUUGAGGGGGUUCAAAUCCUUCCUUUCUUG